RNAcentral lists this transfer RNA (55 nucleotides) under Pinus sylvestris (Scots pine). RNAcentral describes it as "partial tRNA-His". The record is from RNAcentral. Lineage: Eukaryota; Viridiplantae; Streptophyta; Pinopsida; Pinales; Pinaceae.
GGGGCGGACGUAGCCAAGUGGACCAAGGCAGUGGAUUGUGAAUCCACCAUGCGCG